UUUUAUAUUUAAGGAAUGUAAUGCUUCUUUAACUCUGUUAUGAUUAAUAAAGUUAAGUUAUUUUACUUAACUUGAGUAUAUGUGAUUUAAGUAAGUAUGCUCUGGUCAUUUCCUUAUAAGAUGACGUAUGGUCCAUGACAAGUGGUAUCAAAGCACGAUUUUAGGACAUCUUUUGAAUACGAGGCUUACGGUUACAUGAGACUUAGAUAGAUUUGUGAAACAUAGUGAAAAAUAUCUUUAAAUUCGAAUUUUAUCAAUGUAGGAAAUGGUAAGGAUACUGAGAGAGCAAGCACAUCAGGUUCUAGAAGACUGGAUCGAGCAGAGUAUAAAUAGACUCAUGCAUAUAGUCAAAGGCUUGGCUAUGGUGGUCGGUCAACACAUAAUCCAUAGCCAAAGUGUUACUAAUGUUAAUAAUGCUAGUACCAAUAACACCCAGCUGGUGGAGGGAAAUAAUGGAAAACUCAUUGAAAUAUUCAAGAGGAUAAACCCACCACAAUUUGCUGAAGCAACCGACUCGAUAUUAGCCGAGUAGUGGAUCAUGGAGUU
This 546-nucleotide long non-coding RNA is filed under the name Carica papaya (papaya). RNAcentral's name for it is "long non-coding RNA (CPAP_LNC015661)". Lineage: Eukaryota; Viridiplantae; Streptophyta; Magnoliopsida; Brassicales; Caricaceae. The record is from RNAcentral.